UACGUAGGGUGCAAGCGUUAAUCGGAAUUACUGGGCAUAAAGCGUGCGCAGGCGGUUUUGUAAGUCUGUCGUGAAAUCCCCGGGCUCAACCUGGGAAUUGCGAUGGAGACUGCAAGGCUGGAGUCUGGCAGAGGGGGGUAGAAUUCCACGUGUAGCAGUGAAAUGCGUAGAGAUGUGGAGGAACACCGAUGGCGAAGGCAGCCCCCUGGGUCAAGACUGACGCUCAUGCACGAAAGCGUGGGGAGCAAACAGG
Molecule: ribosomal RNA, 253 nt
Filed under: uncultured bacterium
Lineage: Bacteria
Description: partial 16S ribosomal RNA
Rfam family: Bacterial small subunit ribosomal RNA
Source: RNAcentral